Molecule: long non-coding RNA, 681 nt
Organism: Cyprinus carpio (common carp)
Lineage: Eukaryota; Metazoa; Chordata; Actinopteri; Cypriniformes; Cyprinidae
Exons: 4
Source: RefSeq, a predicted model, not a curated record
CUAGACUUUUACUGUCUAUGCUUGACACACAUCACAGCUCCGCGAUGCGCGUUAGGUCGCCAGUGCAUUCGGUCGUGUGCGCAGCCCGUUAAGCGUCGGUGUCUGGAUCCAGCCGUCCGUCCAUGAGAAGCGCAGCGGCGGCGCUGGUUCCAUGUGUGGUCGCGGUGCUGCUCCACUGGCUCGGCUGGACGGACAGAACUGCGCUCCUGUCGGGCUUCGGCUCCGCAGACAAUCUUGUGGAAAGCUCAGGAGCUGGAGACUUUAUGAGCACACCAAUCAGAAGCUGAAGAUGUGCAGCUGCAGCGAGGAGGAUCUUCACAGCAGUCCUCAAACAUGUACCAGCUUCAGUGUGUGUUCAGCAUGAGGGCUGAGGAGUGUGAUGGAGAGGAGAAGAGGCUGAUGCUGGAUCACUGCACGCUUCACAAUCAAUUCAGUGGAACGCGAGCUGAAGUGAACGGUGGAUGAGGAGCGAUCUGUUGGCAGGCGUCCGUGCCGUGUGAUGAUGUGCUCAGUGCAUGUGCGGUCAUGCUGACGGCUCAAGAACAGAUCACAGACAGAUAAACCACGCCGGGAGAAAUACUCGACUAUCAAGCAGCCCUGCGUGCACAUACACUCAUGGCUCUUGAGGCUUUUAUUCACCCCCGGAGCCGUGUGAGGCACUUUUUAUGAUGGAUGGACGCA